UAUAAAUUUAUUUUAAAAAUAACAAGCCUUUGUAAAUGUCCUAGAGAAAUAUAGUAGCUUUCUGUUCACCCUUUGUAAGUAAAAAGGGUGGAUCGUUCCACUACUGACAUUU
RNAcentral lists this small nucleolar RNA (112 nucleotides) under Microcebus murinus (gray mouse lemur). RNAcentral's name for it is "Small Cajal body specific RNA 24 (ENSMICG00000027577.2)". It matches the Rfam family "Small Cajal body specific RNA 24", at positions 15 to 130 of the family's 130-position model. From Rfam's summary of the family: scaRNAs are a specific class of small nuclear RNAs which localise to the Cajal bodies and guide the modification of RNA polymerase II transcribed spliceosomal RNAs U1, U2, U4, U5 and U12. ACA12 belongs to the H/ACA box class of guide RNAs as it has the predicted hairpin-hinge-hairpin-tail structure,the conserved H/ACA-box motifs and is found associated with GAR1. The record is from RNAcentral. Lineage: Eukaryota; Metazoa; Chordata; Mammalia; Primates; Cheirogaleidae.